Molecule: long non-coding RNA, 1315 nt
Organism: Meriones unguiculatus (Mongolian gerbil)
Lineage: Eukaryota; Metazoa; Chordata; Mammalia; Rodentia; Muridae
Exons: 2
Source: RefSeq, a predicted model, not a curated record
UGUUGCCCCUCCCAUCAUGGCAGGGAGUGCAAAGUCACUCACCUCAGGACAGGACAAAAGAGCAGGAAGGAGGCCACCACCACACACCGGAGAGACUGAGGAGCCACACACAGGCCUCCACAGAGGAGAGAGAGGGACAGCGUUGGUUGCCUCCCAGCAAAGGACCUCAAGUGACAUGUCGGACCUCACUGUCAUACCAAACAGCACUGCAGGAAGAAAGGAGUUGGAGGCACAUGGAAUGUGGAACACUGCCCAGAGCAGGUGGCAGAGCAGAGACGGGUCAGUUCUCGGCCACCACAUGAGGCCCUCAGUGCCAGCGCAAGGACAGGAGGCACCUUACACACAGCUACCAUCGCUUCAGCAGGACAAGGCAGAGCAUGGCCUAAGACCGGGGUUCACGGUUGCCCCACAGGGGCUAAGUGUGUUUCGGGGUCCUCAUCCAUACAAUGGGCUGGCUACAGGACCACAGGCUCUUGUGAGAACACAGUCAUCUGCCCAGAGUGUAGGAGCAGCUGUGGCAGAGAAUCGCCACCCUUGGCACUCAGGCACCUUGCCGAUAGGCUGAUGACAUUACUGCCUAGAGACACGAAAGGCUGAUGACUAGGGAUCGUGUGGAGAAAAGAUCUGCUCAGGGCUGAAAGCAGGUGAGAGAGCAAUCCGCUGGUGCUUGUCUGUGUUUGGAUGUCUGAGAGAUCCUGGGUGUUGGGCUGAGGGAAAGAGGCUUUUCACUGUCCACCCUUGGGUGAUCUUGGAUAAAUACACAUUUUUUGUUUGUUUGUUUCGUGAACAUAAGCUUUUGUUAAAAAAAGAAACAUACUUAAAAAUAUCUGCAAGUGUGCCGGUGGCAUGGUUCAGCAGUUGAGGACACUUGGACACUUGUUGCUUUGGCAGAGGACCCAGGAUUGCUUCCCCUCAGCCAUGGCUCACAACCAAUCCCACUCACCCCGGCCUUUGUAGGCACUGUUUGUACGAGGUGCACAGACACCCACGCUCAGAAAACAUUUUUAAAAAUCUUUCAAAAAUAUUUUCUUUAAAAGCCUAAAAACAACCCAACCAGAUCAUUAUUAGGGAACCCAUAGGGGGCUGACAGCUCAUUCUGAGGGAUCCCUCCCAGAGAGGUCAUCUCUGGCCAGAGGGGCCUGGAUUUCAUCUUCUCUUUUGUGUACCUUUUAAGUUUUAUUUUAUGUUUGAUUGUGUGUGUUUCUUGAGUAUGUGUAAGGGUGUGUGGUGUGCAUCACCACCACCUGGAUACAUUUUUUUAAAUUAAAAAAAAAGAAUGGGUCUGAAGACACAGCCGUUCUCACAAAAGAUUCAA